This 407-nucleotide ribosomal RNA is filed under the name uncultured bacterium. RNAcentral's name for it is "partial 16S ribosomal RNA". It matches the Rfam family "Bacterial small subunit ribosomal RNA", at positions 28 to 526 of the family's 1533-position model. The record is from RNAcentral.
GACGAACGCUGGCGGCGGGCCUAAUACAUGCAAGUAGGACGCAGUUGCGAAUGGGUGAGUAACGCGUAGGCAACUGCCUCUUUGAGGGGGAUAACCAUUGGAAACGAUAGCUAAUACCGUAUACUAGUUGAUGGCCCUGCGUUGUAUUAUCUAGUAGGUAGGGUAACGGGCUACCUAGGUGACGAUACAUAGCCGACCUGGGAGGGUGGUCGGCCACACUUGGACUGAAACACGGCCCAGAAUCCUACGGGAGGCAGCAGUAGGGAAACUUCGGCAAUGGGGGGAACCCUUACCGAGCAACGGCGCGGGAGUGAAGAAGGUUUUCGGAUCGUAAAGCUCUGUUGUUAAGGAAGCGGUACUUAACGAGAAAGGGACGGCUAACUACGUGCCAGCAGCCGCGGUAAUUC